This 345-nucleotide unclassified non-coding RNA is filed under the name soil metagenome. RNAcentral describes it as "partial contains 5.8S ribosomal RNA, internal transcribed spacer 2, and large subunit ribosomal RNA". The stretch from base 1 to 120 matches the Rfam family "5.8S ribosomal RNA", at positions 35 to 154 of the family's 154-position model. The record is from RNAcentral.
GAUGAAGAACGCAGCGAAAUGCGAUAAGUAGUGUGAAUUGCAGAAUUCAGUGAAUCAUCGAAUCUUUGAACGCACAUUGCGCCCCUUGGUAUUCCGGGGGGCAUGCCUGUCCGAGCGUCAUUGCUGCCCUCAAGCACGGCUUGUGUGUUGGGCCUCCGUCCUCCUCCCGGGGGACGGGCCCGAAAGGCAGCGGCGGCACCGCGUCCGGUCCUCGAGCGUAUGGGGCUUCGUCACCCGCUCUUGUAGGCCCGGCCGGCGCUUGCCGACACAUCAAUCUUUUUUCCAGGUUGACCUCGGAUCAGGUAGGGAUACCCGCUGAACUUAAGCAUAUCAAUAAGCGGAGGA